GACGAACGCUGGCGGCGUGCUUAACACAUGCAAGUCGAACGGAAAGGCCCUGCCUUUGUGGGGUGCUCGAGAGGCGAACGGGUGAGUAAGACGUGAGUAACCUGCCCUUGCCUUUGGGAUAACUUGAGGAAACUGGGGCUAAUAACAGAUAGGAGCUCCUGCUGCUUGGUGGUGGUUGGUAAGUUACGGCGGUUUGGGAUGGAAUCGCGGCUUGUCAGCUUGUUGGUGGGGUAGUUGGUUGGUGAGGCUUGGACGGUUAGCCGGCCUGGGAGGGUGACCGGCCACAUUGGGACUGAGAUGCGGCCCAGACUCCUACGGGAGGCAGCAGUGGGGAAUAUUGCGCAAUAGGCGGAAGCCGGGUGCAGCGACGCCGCGUGCUGGAUGACGGUCUUCGGGUUGUAAACCGCUUUCGCCUGUGACGAAGCGUGAGUGACGGUAAUUGGUAAAGAAGCACCGGCUAACUACGUG
Molecule: ribosomal RNA, 468 nt
Filed under: uncultured bacterium
Lineage: Bacteria
Description: partial 16S ribosomal RNA
Rfam family: Bacterial small subunit ribosomal RNA
Source: RNAcentral